Molecule: ribosomal RNA, 468 nt
Filed under: uncultured bacterium
Lineage: Bacteria
Description: partial 16S ribosomal RNA
Rfam family: Bacterial small subunit ribosomal RNA
Source: RNAcentral
GACGAACGCUGGCGGCGUGCUUAACACAUGCAAGUCGAACGGAAAGGCCCUGCUUUUGUGGGGUGCUCGAGUGGCGAACGGGUGAGUAACACGUGAGUAACCUGCCCUUGACUUUGGGAUAACUUCAGGAAACUGGGGCUAAUACCGGAUAGGAGCUCCUGCUGCAUGGUGGGGGUGGGAAAUUUUCGGCGGGUGGGGAUGGACUCGCGGCUUAUCAGCUUGUUGGUGGGGUAGUGGCUUACCAAGGGUUUGACGGGUAGCCGGCCUGAGAGGGUGACCGGCGACAUUGGGACUGAGAUACGGCCCAGACUCCUACGGGAGGCAGCAGUGGGGAAUAUUGCACAAUGGGCGGAAGCCUGAUGCAGCAACGCCGCGUGCGGGAUGACGGCCUUCGGGUUGUAAACCGCUUUCGCCUGUGACGAAGCGUGAGUGACGGUAAUGGGUAAAGAAGCACCGGCUAACUACGUG